GGGUGCUCUCAUUUUGUUUCUGUUUUCCUCCCGUCUUCCUCAUAGUUUCAAGGGCUUCUUCGUGGAUGAAGUGCAGCCAGAACCACAGACAAUUCAGUGAUCAGGUUCUUAAAAGGGUCUGCAUUUGAGAAGAAAAGGAAAUCUGCCACCUUUACCUGACCUGCACUAUGUGUGAUUCCGGACCAUCAAAAGGCUGACUCUUAAGCAUCACUUCGGCAGAUGGAGAGACAAAGCAGCUCUGCUAGGGUUGCACUGUGAGAUGGAUUGUGAACAGGAGAAGGGAAGGAAGUACGAACCAGAGGGCUCCAGAAAGAGCAAUUCAUUUGAAAGAAGAAGGCUUGGAGAUUUCAGAAAUGGCCUGGGGUGAAAAUGAAAUGAUUUCACUACAUCAACAAGUUAAGAAGUAUGCAGAAUUUAAAGUUAUCGACCAUCAUCUUGCGUGUUGCACUGAAGCCGAAGAUUUUGAGGAUGCAUUGUAUGAAGGCAGUACUUUAUCUGCACUGAUUUUGUUAAUUUACAGUCAAUCAAAGGAACAUGCAGCGUACACUGAUUUAAUUUCUCCAUCAUUGAAUAUUAGGAACUAAUUCACCGUUCAUUGUUUUAUAGUACUCUUGUAGUACUGGGGUAAUGUUCUAAAUCGUUCUGUAUAUCACUUAAUUACAUAACUUGUU
This is a long non-coding RNA of Mobula hypostoma (lesser devil ray), 671 nucleotides long. RefSeq lists it as uncharacterized. The transcript has 5 exons. Lineage: Eukaryota; Metazoa; Chordata; Chondrichthyes; Myliobatiformes; Myliobatidae. The record is from RefSeq and is a predicted model, not a curated record.